UUCGGCAGACGAAUUCAUAACCAUCCCUUUGUGACGCUAAUAAUAUCAUCCAUACAUUUUAAAACAGUGAAGAGCUUUCCUAUGUUAACUGGUUGAAGUGAUAUUUUUUUUUACAUGACAAAAAAGUCGGGAUGUACCCUAGUAUCCACGUGUGUUUUGUUUUCUUUCUCCUUUUCGUCAGAAUUCAUACUGCAUGGAUCCCUAGAUAUGAUAAAAGAUAUGUAGCAGACUUAACAUUACCUGCUUUACUGGCCAAGGCAGGGAAUACAUGUGCUCAUAUAAAUUGUCGAUACAAGGAUCUCAUUCUAUAUGGAAAGCGGCGCAAACGAAAUGCUUUGUUAAGGUCAUACAAUGCAUGCUGUCGAUGAAGAUAGAUCCAUGAAUGUUUACUGUGAAUCAAAUGUGUAUUAUAAUAAACAUC
This is a long non-coding RNA of Saccostrea cuccullata (small rock oyster), 421 nucleotides long. RefSeq lists it as uncharacterized. NCBI's taxonomy places the organism in Eukaryota, Metazoa, Mollusca, Bivalvia, Ostreida, Ostreidae. The record is from RefSeq and is a predicted model, not a curated record. The transcript is spliced from 4 exons.